Molecule: long non-coding RNA, 221 nt
Filed under: Manihot esculenta (cassava)
Lineage: Eukaryota; Viridiplantae; Streptophyta; Magnoliopsida; Malpighiales; Euphorbiaceae
Description: long non-coding RNA (MESC_LNC006643)
Source: RNAcentral
CCUAACCUGACUAUCCAGCUCUCUCACAUGAGCUAGAAACCCCUGACAACCUCUCCUGAGCAACCUACGAGCCUGUAGGGCUGAUAUCAGACCUCUAGGCGUACCCCUCCUGUCUCCUCUGAAGACAACCUCUGACCCAUCCUGAUCUCUGAACCUGAUUACCUUGUCUCUGCAGUCCAAGGUAGCACCAUGAGCAGAUAGCCAAUCCAUCCCUAGAAUGA